AAGGAGAAGGAGUAGAAGGUGAAGAAGAAGCUAAGAAGUAGAGCUACUUCCUCUUCUUCCUCUUUGGAGUAACAUAGGAGCAAGCUUAGAGGUAAGCUUGAACCCUAUUCAUGGUAGAACCCAAACUAGGGAUUUGAUUAACCUAGGAAUGGUUUUAAUGGAGUCUCUAGAGUGGAUUGAAGCUUCUUUUGCUUCCGAAGGAGAUCAAACUCUAGGUUUGAUAUAUGCUAUGAAGCUAGGGCACCCAAAUUUGGGGCUUUUGCUCGGGAGGGUUUCAAAGUGAAAUUAACCCUCUAGAAACCUAAUUGGGGACCAAACGAACACGUUGGUGCGCUCGGUUUAACGUUAUGAAAAG
This 355-nucleotide long non-coding RNA is filed under the name Ananas comosus (pineapple). Its description in RNAcentral is "long non-coding RNA (ACOM_LNC036867)". The record is from RNAcentral. Lineage: Eukaryota; Viridiplantae; Streptophyta; Magnoliopsida; Poales; Bromeliaceae.